This is a non-coding RNA of Xyrichtys novacula (pearly razorfish), 96 nucleotides long. The record is from the annotation of a GenBank genome assembly. Lineage: Eukaryota; Metazoa; Chordata; Actinopteri; Labriformes; Labridae.
AGGGGAGCAGACUGAGCAUGCUCAGUCGGCUCCCCUCUCCCUCCUGAAGGAGAGAGAGAGAGGGGAGCAGAGUGAGCAUGCUCAGUCUGCUCCCCU